CCACGCACUAUGAAGGGUAGGCCUCGUUGGCUUCUGGUCCCACACGUCGGUGUGUGGGUCGUUACCUUUCUAGCUUCGAUGUUAGAUACUGGAGAGAGGGGAGAUGGCGUGGGCGUCUUCUCCCCUUCUUCCGCACCUUUCUGCACGCACGAGAAAGGAUGAACCCAUCCUGAGCCGGAGUACUCCGAGCAGUGCGCCCCUUCCCCCGUUCUCCUCCACCAUGCCUGGGCUCCGCCUCCUCCGCCCGCAUCCUCCUCCUCCCCUCUCUCUCUCUUCUAAACCAUCGUCCUCCUCCCUCGUUGCUGGACCCUGCCCUGCUUCGCCUCCUCCGCCAGCCUCUUCCUCCUUGCCGUCGAUGGUAGCGGUGUGAACGGGGGCAGCGGCCGUGAUUAGCUGUGAUGAGUUGACCGAGCUGGUUCCACACUAAGGAACGAACCCCCUUGACGCCAUCCUCUGUGGCACUACUCUGCUGCCUCCGUUCGUCAGUUAAUCUGGUUUGUGAUCUCUUCCGCAUUCCCCUUUCCAGGAGUUCUUGCCUUCAACGCUGAGAAGUAUUUGAUAUAUCCUGGGUACGGAUGAUUGAUUUAUUUGCAGAAUGUCCCAGAAAUUGUGAAUCUCGGUUUACAAGAAUCAACACGAAUGUUGAAACAUUGAUUUUUUUGAAGGUAUUUUUUCCUGUUCCCAAGCAUUUUCCUCAUGUUUGCUUCUAAAACGUUGCUUAGCAAGCAUUAUAUGAUUCAUGGAAUUAACUUAGCAAGGAUAAUGUAUCAGUUUAACUUUUGUAAAGAAGCAGACGAGCAGUGCAGUAACCCUACAUUAAAAUUAUGAGAUAUGUCAUAAUUCCGACAACGGUUCCAUAUAGGAAAUAUAAGAUACGCAUAGAGAAGAGCUCAAACUGGACAUUCUUUUCUUUUAGUUUCUAGAAUCCUUGGCAGAGGGUGUUAUAUAUUUCCAUAAAAAUAAUCAGCGACAGAGAUUUAAAUGUAGUAACAUAUGUUUAUGCUUUAAAGUCCGGUGUCGAACAGUACCCAUGAUAAAGCUACACGGUUGGAUGCUAUUGAUCACGUAAGGUGAGCUUAUAUGACUUGGUUUAACCUUUUUAGAUUAUGUUACCGAAUAUUAGGAGAACUUUUUGAUAUGUGUAUUUGUAGAAUUUGCUGAUGUUUGUUGCAAAAUAUUGGUGGCUAGGCACUAUGCUCCACAUACGCAAAGUUUUCAGUUUCUAUUUUCAUAAUUGCACCAGCCUUUUCUGUACCAACAAUGUGACGCUGCACUAAUAUAGAUUUUCACAAGCCAUGGAAAAAUAAAUAAUUUGACAAUCAAUAGCCUCCAGUCUACAACUGUAAUUUUGUGCCCACUUUGGAGCUAUUGGAUGCCUGAAUGUCUCACGUUCCUUUGGUGAUCGUUGUGUUGUGUUCAAAAUUGUAGCUUGAGAGGAGGAAAAUAAUUAAAUAGCAGGUUGUACAGAGUUGCUACCAUACCAUUUCUUUGUGACUGCAUGGUCUCACCGUCAAUUUUCUAAAAGUAUAUUAGCAUCUUGUUCUUGGAAGAACAGAUUUUCGUUAUGUACAGGAGGUCUAACCAGGCAUGUAGUUUUUUUAGUCCUUUGUUCCUUUGCUUGAUUUGGCGCGUGGCGUGGGCAUCUGUUUCAAGUUGGGCGGCAUACAAUCCAUGCAAGGGUACUUAGUUGUUGUAUGUAUGGCAGCUGCAGCAUCUUGCCAAUUAGUCCCCACUAAAAUUAAUUUAUCUCUCCACCUUUUUGGCUCAUGAAUAUCGAUGCGAGUACUGUAGGUACCUAAAUGCUAGAGAUUACCACCCUUGAGUAGGUUUCUCUAAACAGACAAUAUAUGGUGGUUAUUUCUGCUACUGUAGGUUUUUCCAUGGUUUUAAUUGUGUAUAUGGCAUAUUGGCGUUCUCAGAGUUGUGGUUCUAGAUUUGCUCGCUGCUCUAUAGAUCUAUUAUUUGAAGAACUAAUGAUAUACAUUGAGUUACCUCGCACCAUCAUUUAUCCUUUCAACUGCUUGAUUUGGAUUUUUUUUAAUGUUAUCAAAUAGUGUCCCUGUGUCUUAACAAGCCACCCAUUUGUCGUCUGUAUGUUUUGUCAUUCGCAAAGUUGUUGUCUGAUGAAGACAGUUUGUUGGUCGAGGUCACCCAAAUUGAGUAUGGUCUCUUUUAUGUCAUUGCUCUGCCAGAGUGCAAUUUUCAUUGCAUGGCAUACACCAGUUGCCGUUAGUUGAUAUGUUUGUUGAAGUUCCAUUACAAGUUAAAUAAAUUUGUAGUGUGAUAUACUGAUUCUUAUAGUUUGAUAAUGUUAUGCGUGGAUGGCCUUAGAUAUGUAAAUAAAAACACCUUUAAGAAAACUAAGCAUUCAAUUAUUGUUCUGUUGUGUUAUUGAUUUCACCGGUUUUAUGUCGAUCGAUUAGUUCUGAAGGAUUCCACAUCGGGUAAUUUAGAUUAUGUUACUAGAGUAUUAGAAGAACUUCCUGAUAUAUGUAUUUAGAGCAUUUGCUAAGAUUUGAUGCAAAAUAUUGAUGGUCAGGCAUUAUACUGCGCAUAAAUACAAUUUUUCAGUUUUUAUUUUUGUUGUUGCAGCAGUUUUUGUAUAGUGAUAGCCAAUAGUGCGACAUCACACUACUCCAUUUUCACAGGCCAUGCCACAUCUUUACAUGUAAGUUUGUUCUCUAUAUAGUUCUCUUUCCAACCUUUACAUAUCCUAUUUGUCAUGGGAUCUGGCUGCUUUACUAUCUUUUCCUGGUGUGGACGAUGUUAUAGAGUGAGCUACCAUCACUUCCCAUUACUAACUGUAAUCGAUAAAUAUGUGUUCAUGUUGUAAAAGUUGGAUAUUUGUCGAAGCCAUUGUCAUGUCAUGCAAUUACUUGCAGAUCAACUAUAUAGUUUUGUUCGGAUUAUAAAGCGGAAAUGAUAAAACCAUACAACCCUUGUGUGAGUUUCAUUUGAUUAUUUACUUCCUCAAGUAGUAUGGAUAUAGUGCUGCCAGGAUAUUAAGUAUAUUCAUGAAGUUGUGCAAAGUUUAAAAUUGGUUGUAGUAUCUUGCAUUUGUCAAAUCCUCAUAUGUUGCUGGUAGUCACGCUUAUGCUCAGGAUAUUAAGUAUGCUUGUGCUAUGUUGUGACUAAAUAAAAGUAAUGUACAGGUUUAUCUUUUGUUUGCUCUACUUAAAGAGUCCAGUGUUUACCCAGAGGGCAAUUAUAUGUUCCUACUGCUCUCUCACGUGUGAGGUCGAGAAAAUCACUGAUGUUUCUAUUUUACUUGGCCUGCAUUUUGGUUUUCAAAUAGUCCUGCUUCAAUUUGAUAUUUCUACUUGCUUUUUGUUUGGUAAUAUGAUGUAUUGUUUUCUAGCUCUAGGCCUACUUGUGUUCAAGGUUUAGUUGAUUGUGUUUCUUAAGGGUGUUUUUUUAGUUAGUGGCAUCAACUGCCUUUUCUUCGGGAUAAGCUGACACCUAAUAAGGAUCAUGAGAACAACAAAGAUGCUAAGAGGCAACAAUUUGGGGUUAAGGAUAUUAACAACAACAGGGCUUAUGAGGCCGAAGAGAGCUCGAGUGGUGUCUUUUGGUUCUUGAAGCCUUGCCCUUUCCUGGUGGAGUAGAAGCAAAAUAAUUCAGAGGCUUUAAGGCCCUAUUUGAUAGUAAAGUAUUUUCUAUGUAUUUCGAGAAUACUUCAGUUUUUCAGACUACCACAAUUUUAUUUACAAUCAGCUGUUUGGUUGCCCUAAAAACUGUGAUUUUAAUACUAUAGUAUUUGCUAAAACACUGUUUUUUCUCUGUUUUAUAAAAAGAACCCAAGACCUGUUUUUUAAAAACAGAGCAGACAAAAGAACGAUGUCGCACGUCGUCAACUUCUUCCCUGCUGACUCGCCUCCCUCUACAAAAAUUAUUUGCGGCCGCCGCCCUGUGCUCUUUGUAGAUCCCUGCUGCAUGUAGGCCUCUCUCCAUGGCUCGCCGUUGUCCCAUCUGCUACACGUGCAGCUCCGCCGCAGAUGCGUAAGAUGGCCAAGCAGCCAGUCCUCGUGCAGCUCUGCCGCUUGGUGCCGCCCAACGAUUUUUUGGUCAUGGCCGUUCAGUGGAGUUCACUUAGGAUGCGUUUGGUUGAAGGUGUCGUAUGAAUGGGUUGGAACCGUUCAAUUUUUUUGGGAUUGAACCAUUCAAUUCAUGUGUUUGGCUGAAUAUAAGUGGUG
Long non-coding RNA from Triticum dicoccoides, 4193 nucleotides. RefSeq lists it as uncharacterized. The transcript is spliced from 3 exons. NCBI's taxonomy places the organism in Eukaryota, Viridiplantae, Streptophyta, Magnoliopsida, Poales, Poaceae. The record is from RefSeq and is a predicted model, not a curated record.